UGGGGAGUACGGGCGGCCUAUCAGCUUGUUGGUGAGGUAAUGGCUCACCAAGGCGACGACGGGUAGCCGGCCUGAGAGGGUGACCGGCCACACUGGGACUGAGACACGGCCCAGACUCCUACGGGAGGCAGCAGUGGGGAAUAUUGCACAAUGGGCGCAAGCCUGAUGCAGCAACGCCGCGUGAGGGACGACGGCCUUCGGGUUGUAAACCUCUUUUGGCAGGGAAGAAGCGGGCUGUUUGUUCAGACGUGACGGUACCUGCAGAAAAAGCACCGGCUAACUACGUGCCAGCAGUCGCGGUAAUACGUAGGGUGCAAGCGUUGUCCGGAAUUAUUGGGCGUAAAGAGCUCGUAGGCGGUUUGUCGCGUCUGCUGUGAAAACGCGAGGCUCAACCUCGCGCCUGCAGUGGGUACGGGCAGACUAGAGUGCGGUAGGGGAGAUUGGAAUUCCUGGUGUAGCGGUGGAAUGCGCAGAUAUCAGGAGGAACACCGAUGGCGAAGGCAGAUCUCUGGGCCGUUACUGACGCUGAGGAGCGAAAGCGUGGGGAGCGAACAGGAUUAGAUACCCUGGUAGUCCACGCCGUAAACGUUGGGAACUAGAUGUGGGGUCCAUUCCACGGAUUCCGUGUCGCAGCUAACGCAUUAAGUUCCCCGCCUGGGGAGUACGG
RNAcentral lists this ribosomal RNA (667 nucleotides) under uncultured bacterium. RNAcentral describes it as "bacterial SSU rRNA". It matches the Rfam family "Bacterial small subunit ribosomal RNA", at positions 221 to 885 of the family's 1533-position model. The record is from RNAcentral.